RNAcentral lists this long non-coding RNA (764 nucleotides) under Pan paniscus (pygmy chimpanzee). Its description in RNAcentral is "lncRNA (ENSPPAG00000045249.1)". The record is from RNAcentral. Lineage: Eukaryota; Metazoa; Chordata; Mammalia; Primates; Hominidae.
GGCCUCUCCUCCCUACUGUCUGCUCUCGCAGGCUGGUUUGUUAUGGCAUGAAAGAUGGCUCCGUGGAAUAAAGAUGUUUCCCCUCUGAUGAGCACAUUUGCAGAAGGAGGAGGACUGACACCAGCCACACGUAUGUCUGCUGCUGACAAAUGUGCGCACGCCUUGGAGGGCGGGGCCAGGCAGGACAGAGCCGCCCAUGACAGGGGGACACCUCCUGUUCUAGAAUUCUUGGACUGAUUAUCCAUCUUGACAAAGGAGGCCUUGAAUCAAAUUUAAUCUGGUAAAAAAAUAAAUAUACCUUUCUUUUCUGCAAUAGACUAAAUGUAUAGUCCCCACAAAAUUCAUUUUAACCCCCAAGAUGAUGAUGUUAGAAAGUGGGGACUUUGUGAGGUGAAUAGGUCCUAAUGGUAGAACCCUCAUGCAUAGGUUUAGUGCACUUAUCAAAGAGACAUCGGAGAGAUCCCUUGUGCCUUCUGCCAUGUGAGUUAUAGUGAGAAGACAGCCAUCUACUAGGAAUCAGAACGUCAUCAGACACCAAAUCUGCCAGCACCUUGAUCUUAGAUUUCCCAGAUUCCAGAACUGUUAGAAAUAAAUUUCUGUUGUUUAUAAGCCACCCAGUCUAUGGUAUUUUGUUAUGGCAGCCCGAAAAGACUAAGACAUAUGCCAAGCACCAUAGGAAAUGUGCUACCUGCUAUAGACACAUCUUCUAUGUGCCAUUAUCCACCCUUUAAAUAAAGGCCUUAGAAUGAGCUGGGCAAUGGAGG